UAACUUACAUCUAUAAACGCCAGGGAAUUACGAGCUACGCUUAAAACCCAAAGGAUUUGACGGUGUCCCACCCACCUAGAGGAGCCUGUUCUAUAAUCGAUAAUACCCGCUAUACCCAACCACCUCUUGCUAUUCAGUCUGUAUACCUCCGUCGAAAGCUUACCAUGUGAACGCCUACAGUGAGUACAAUGAUCCCCAACGUCAACACGUCAGGUCAAGGUGCAGCUUAAGGGGUGGAAAGAAAUGGGCUACAAUUUCUAAUCUAGAACAAACGAAAGACUAUGUGAAAUCAUGGUACUGAAGGCGGAUUUAGCAGUAAAAAGAAAAUAGAGCGUUCUUUUUAACCUGGCUCUGGGACGCGUACACACCGCCCGUCAC
RNAcentral lists this ribosomal RNA (378 nucleotides) under Odorrana graminea (large odorous frog). RNAcentral's name for it is "partial 12S ribosomal RNA". It matches the Rfam family "Bacterial small subunit ribosomal RNA", at positions 875 to 1400 of the family's 1533-position model. Lineage: Eukaryota; Metazoa; Chordata; Amphibia; Anura; Ranidae. The record is from RNAcentral.